CACAGAAGCCAAGACAGCAGAUGAAGGGAGACUGCUGGAACAAGAGAGUCAGGGCUUGAAAAUCCAGGCUUUAAAGCAUAGCAUGAAGAUAAGCUCAGACAUCUGCCUUGUUCAGAAAGUAAGUCUUCUCUCUGUUGGUAAAGCCCAACAACAAAAGUCCAUCAGGUGCAAACCACAUAUAUGGUAGAGGACUUUCAUGUAAAAUAUGCAAAGAACUCUUAAAACCCGACAAUGAGGGGAAAAAAAACAAUUAAAAGCCGAGCAAAAGAUCUGAACAGACACCUCACAAAAAGAUGUACAGAUAAUAUAAACAUAUGAAAAGGGGCUCACUAUCAUAUACCAGUAGGGAACUGUGAAUUAAAACAGUAAUAUACCAUUCCACAUCUACUAAAAUGGCUAAAUUCCAGAACACUGGCAACACUACGUGCUGAUGAGAAAGUGGAGCAACAGGAACUCACUUGUAUUGUUGAUGUGACUGCAAAUUAAAUGGUACAGCCACCUUGGAAGAGUUUAA
Molecule: long non-coding RNA, 514 nt
Organism: Suricata suricatta (meerkat)
Lineage: Eukaryota; Metazoa; Chordata; Mammalia; Carnivora; Herpestidae
Exons: 2
Source: RefSeq, a predicted model, not a curated record